Molecule: long non-coding RNA, 266 nt
Organism: Alosa sapidissima (American shad)
Lineage: Eukaryota; Metazoa; Chordata; Actinopteri; Clupeiformes; Clupeidae
Exons: 3
Source: RefSeq, a predicted model, not a curated record
CACACUGACCAGAGACCUGCCUGCACUCCUUUGGAUGAAGAAGGCUACCCGUGUAUACAUGUGUGAACCAUUUCUUGUGUUGGAAAAACAGGAGACCUGAAGAGCUCUUGCAAAGAACAGGAGUGGGCAGGAAACAUGCGCUGUUGAAAACAUGGCCAACCAACUGGAGCACCCACAAGGCUCUUGUGAAGGAAGUCCACAAGUGCUUCAGGAUGGAUGGAAAGAACUCUUUGAUCAACCCCCACAGAGAGCUGAGGUGGCUAUCU